GACGAACGCUGGCGGCGUGCUUAACACAUGCAAGUCGAACGGUGAAGCGCCUUCCUUUUUGGUGGGUGUGGAUGAGUGGCGAACGGGUGAGUAACACGUGAGUAACCUGCCCCCUUCUUCUGGAUAACCGCAUGAAAGUGUGGCUAAUACGGGAUAUUCUGGGUCUGUCGCAUGAUGGGUCUGGGAAAGAUAUUGUUUCGGUGGGGGAUGGGCUCGCGGCCUAUCAGCUUGUUGGUGGGGUGAUGGCCUACCAAGGCGGUGACGGGUAGCCGGCCUGGGAGGGUGGACGGUCACACUGGGACUGAGACACGGCCCAGACUCCUACGGGAGGCAGCAGUGGGGAAUAGUGCACAAUGGGCGCAAGCCUGAUGCAGCGACGCCGCGGGAGGGAUGGAGGCCUUCGGGUUGUGAACCUCUUUCGCCAGUGAAGCAGGCCUGCCUCGUUUGUGGGUGGGUUGACGGUAGCUGGAUAAGAAGCGCCGGCUAACUACGUG
RNAcentral lists this ribosomal RNA (494 nucleotides) under uncultured bacterium. RNAcentral describes it as "partial 16S ribosomal RNA". It matches the Rfam family "Bacterial small subunit ribosomal RNA", at positions 28 to 507 of the family's 1533-position model. The record is from RNAcentral.